This 54-nucleotide ribosomal RNA is filed under the name uncultured bacterium. RNAcentral describes it as "partial 16S ribosomal RNA". The record is from RNAcentral.
CGCGNGCCAACCGCAAGGAGGCAGGCGCUUAAGGAGUGACUGGUGACUGGGGUG